RNAcentral lists this non-coding RNA (26 nucleotides) under Mus musculus (house mouse). The record is from RNAcentral. Lineage: Eukaryota; Metazoa; Chordata; Mammalia; Rodentia; Muridae.
GCUACAGGUCUACUAUUCGCCAGUGC